Molecule: long non-coding RNA, 800 nt
Filed under: Eucalyptus grandis
Lineage: Eukaryota; Viridiplantae; Streptophyta; Magnoliopsida; Myrtales; Myrtaceae
Description: long non-coding RNA (EGRA_LNC003701)
Source: RNAcentral
UUUAAUAAGCUGCGAUGUGAGAAGUACCAAGUUUUCUCUGACCUAGUGGUUCUGGAGAAUACUUGGACAUAGGAACUGGUUAAAUUCUGUGUGUACCGCAGCAUGAGAGUAAUUCGGGAAUGAGAUGAGAGGAAAGAUGUUGGGCGAAUUACAACUAAAUAUAUGUGGCGAGCAGGACAAAAUGCGCUUUGCCAUAAUGCCAAAAUCGAGGGAGGAUGUCUGCAAAAUGGGGAUGAGCUAAAAAAUUCUUUAUCAUAGAGGAAGUACUAAUGUGGUAAGUUAUAUGUUUGUUAUUUCUGUUCCUUUUUGGGUUUUUAAUUUCUGAUUUCUUUGACUCAUGGGUGCUAAACGAGCGAUACCGACUCUGGAUGAGUAACUGAGUUUGUUUUACCUGUAAAGUUGAUCGCGACUCCUUAGGGCUGUUGAGAUUAUUGUAUUAUUUUAUUAGUUGAAAAUAUUUGUUCGGGUAUAUCUUGCAAUCUGCUGUAUUUCCUCCUGGCCUGUUCGGUCAUCACUGAAUCUCGAUGGCUUCCAACUUCGUUUGGGCGCUCGGUUUGGAUGUUUGGUGCUUCUGUAUCUUUGCUUAUUAAUUUGCAGUUGAGAAUGAGACGCGAAAUGGUCAUUGGGACUUUGGACGGCACGUAUCUGCAUUCUUUACUGCACCGGACUUUCAAUGAUCGUACUUCAUUUUAGUUUGGAAAAUUGCCUCUGUUCUAGCAUCCUGAGGUAACGAAGUUUGGAGCCUAUGUCCUUUAAUUGUGAAAUGUCUGACAGUGUUUGAAGAUUAGAUGUGAUUAGGG